AUUUUAUUUAUCUUGAGCUCAAUAUAGUACACAUCAAUUUUUGUACAACAAAUAAAAAAUACAAUAAAAGAUGAUUCACAACAAAAACAACAAUAUACCGGUAGUUAGCAGUAAUAAAAACUAAUUUCAACCUACGUAACAAAGUAACUUUUCUCCUUGUUAGUUGUAUUUCAAUAGCUGCCAUUUACAAACUUGAUAUAAUAUAAGGAACAUUAAAAUUGCAUUUGUAGAAAAAAAUAGCACUAGUGGUUUGAUUGGAAAUAUUUGAAUUUUUUGUCAAAAGUUCAGACUCCUUUGUUUUUUCCCUAUGAUACAGAGUACAAAUAUAUUUUGCUACAUCACAUCAAUUUUUCUUUUCAAAUAAGACUUCAGCAGCUCAUUAAAGGUCAUUUACCAAAAUUUAAGCAGAUUUUGAUUUCUUUUCUUUCAAUUUAAGACCCAACCAAUACCAAUGCAAAUAUAAGGUAAAAGAUAAAGUUUGCCUUUUGCUGUCAUUUUCAAAAAGUCAGAUAUUUCGAAAG
This 521-nucleotide long non-coding RNA is filed under the name Mytilus galloprovincialis (Mediterranean mussel). The record is from RNAcentral. Lineage: Eukaryota; Metazoa; Mollusca; Bivalvia; Mytilida; Mytilidae.